This 436-nucleotide ribosomal RNA is filed under the name uncultured bacterium. RNAcentral describes it as "partial 16S ribosomal RNA". It matches the Rfam family "Bacterial small subunit ribosomal RNA", at positions 341 to 792 of the family's 1533-position model. The record is from RNAcentral.
ACGGGAGGCAGCAGUGGGGAAUAUUGGGCAAUGGGCGAAAGCCUGACCCAGCAACGCCGCGUGAAGGAAGAAGGUUUUCGGAUCGUAAACUUCUGUCCUCAAUGAAAAGCAGAAGAUGGUAAUUGAGGAGGAAGCCCCGGCUAACUACGUGCCAGCAGCCGCGGUAAUACGUAGGGGGCGAGCGUUGUCCGGAAUGAUUGGGCGUAAAGGGCGCGUAGGCGGUUUCUUAAGUCUGGAGUGAAAGUCCUGUUUUUAAGAUGGGAAUUGCUUUGGAGACUGGGGGACUUGAGUGCAGGAGAGGUUAUCGGAAUUCCCGGUGUAGCGGUGAAAUGCGUAGAGAUCGGGAGGAACAUCAGUGGCGAAGGCGGGUAACUGGACUGUAACUGACGCUGAGGCGCGAAAGUGUGGGGAGCAAACAGGAUUAGAUACCCUGGUA